AGCUCCGGUGGCCUAGUGGUGAGAACAUCUGUCUCGGACGCGGAAGGUUGUGGGUUCGAACCCCGGCCGAGUCA
This is a non-coding RNA of Potamilus streckersoni, 74 nucleotides long. Lineage: Eukaryota; Metazoa; Mollusca; Bivalvia; Unionida; Unionidae. The record is from the annotation of a GenBank genome assembly.